Long non-coding RNA from Mesocricetus auratus (golden hamster), 996 nucleotides. RefSeq lists it as uncharacterized. The transcript is spliced from 4 exons. The record is from RefSeq and is a predicted model, not a curated record. Lineage: Eukaryota; Metazoa; Chordata; Mammalia; Rodentia; Cricetidae.
CGAUGGUAGGCAGGGCAACCAGAGGGCUUCUGGGUCUCCGGCAGGCCGCACUGGCUUGCAGACCUGAUCCCAUCAGACCUAAGGCUUCUUCAAGUCCAGUUAGUUCUGGACUCCUCCGGGUAUACCCGGCCACAGCAAAGUAACACGUGUCCAGUAAAUCAAUUAAGAAAUUAAUGAAAAACAUGUAAAAACAAGUUCCAGGCCCGUUGCUCAAACAGCCAGCAGUUCUGAGCCUCACCUUCUAGUUCUUUCCUCUCUGAGGAUCCACCGAGGAAGCCACUUGUGGUCUUUGGAAGGUCUCAUUUCCACGGACUGCAGUCACUUGUGAACUUGGUCAGUCCUUUGCCGGCUUGGCCUCAGUGCUCCCUUUCUGCAAUGGAUGAUCAGAGCAAGCUGUGUUCUAAGCAUGUCACAGGAUCCACCAAUAAGGUUGCUUCACGGUGGAGAAGGGCAUGCCUGAGAGCCCCAAGCCCCUGAGGAAUAUUGUGGCAAUCAAGUCCGCUGUAUAACCAACCAUCACCAUCGAUGCCUCAGCCUAUAAAGAGGCUAACUAGAAGCUACUCAGGUAUCCAGGCCUCUGGACCCUACACUUGACCUGCCCGGUGUUUCUCAACCAUCCCAACACUGCGACCCUUGUUACAGUUCCUCAUGUGGUGACCCCCAACCAUAAUAUUAUUUUCUUUGCUACUUUGUAACUGUAAUUUUGCUACUGUUAUGAAUGGCAAGUAUCUGGUAUGCAGAAUGUAUUUUCAUUGUUACAAAUUGACCCAAAGCGGUCGCCACCCACAGGCUGAGAAGCACUACACUAGACCAAGCAUAUGGGAUCCAGGGAGACUGAGGCUUGAGUAGAAACUGUCAGUCCUCUCUCUGUUUAAAGGACAAUUGGGGCGAUUCAACAGAGAGGACUACUCCUCUAGGAUCUGAGCCAGUUUUGAGGUGUGAACAGAUUAAUAAAACUAAGUAACUACGAAAAUGUCAAAGCUAUUCUUUUGAUGG